AAUAAAAAGAAAUACCUUUCUGGUAAAUACUAAAGUGUCUAAGAGUCACCUUGCAGCACCCAACACCAUUAGAAGUUCCCUUCUGCGCUCAAAUCAGCAGAGGAAAAAGUCUUCCUCCCCUUUGUUCUCACUCUCAAAAUUGUCUCCGCUUAAAGACUUGCUGAGACCUUCGUAUGAAUUUUUUUAUAAAAAUAAUCCAAUCUU
RNAcentral lists this unclassified non-coding RNA (204 nucleotides) under Hevea brasiliensis (rubber tree). Lineage: Eukaryota; Viridiplantae; Streptophyta; Magnoliopsida; Malpighiales; Euphorbiaceae. The record is from RNAcentral.